ACGCUCUUGCUGCGCGUGGGCCGCGCCAGUCUGCCGCACCGCCUCCCCUCCGUGUGGAGCUCACUGCUGCCACAGCGCCUCGCCUGCGCUUGGGUGCCGCCGGGGUCCCCUCGCCCAGUCCUCCGCUCCCUCACAAUUCUCUCCGUCUUGCUCCUGUUCUUGUUCUGCCGCCGCCACUAGAGACCUAGGGUUAGGGAUUCCUCGCCGCUCAUCAGACCAGCCCCUCCUUCUUCACUGGGGGAUUGGCCGCGCCUCUACCCAGCAGCGGGCUGCAGCCCGCGGAGGUGGCCCCUGGGUCGGCAGGUGGGGCGGACGAAUCUACUCGGCGGGCGACGCGCGUGGAGCCGCACGCGGCGCAACGCCAAGAGGUGGGGCGGUGGCGGGGGCCGGUGCCAUGCCAGUGAUGGGGCGGCUGCGAGGGCCACUGCGGAGCGGCACUACGGCGGUCCGAGGGUUCGUAGUCCAGGGGCGACGGAGACUUGGUGGAUCGGCCCACGCAGCGCUGGGCAUAUGGCACUCCUGCGGCCGGAGCAGCCGCGGCCGAUCCAACCCGCAGAUAGGUUCGUGCUCCGCCGUUAGCUGCUUUCCUAGGGUCUCCGAGGCGGGUUCGUGCUGCUGCUUCGGACGGACGCCGUUCACUGAUUGCCUGUGCUGACUGGAUCGGGUUCGUCCUGCUGCUGUUCGCCAUGUGUGAACAGAACAGAUGCCGCCUCCCUGACCGGGCUUCUCCGUCCUCGCCUCCAUCUGCAUCUCUGCUUCAGUUCUCCCCUCCCCCUGUUCCAGUUGCUCUCCCGGUUGAUUGCCCCCGCUGUCACCGCUGUGAACAUAUGUUUUGUUCAUCCGAUAGCCCGUUCUCCCUAAAAACCAAUUUUAGGAUGCCUACUCGCAUAAUUACAAGAUUUGGAUUAACAAGAUCACAAAGUGUGACUGUAUUGCUGAUUAGGAUAGGAAUCACCUGCGUGACCAUUAUUUGUCCAUAAAUAUUCCAAAUUGUUCCUAAUAAUUUCUUUGCUACCACUUUCUGGAUUACCCAUUCACCUCAAGGCAGCCUGUCUUGUGUCUUUCUGCUACAUGAAACAGGGACACACCACAUUUGGUUUGUCCCAGCAGUAAUGGUGUGGUAAUUUGUCUCAUGGGGCUUCAGCUUAUAUGUUUGUAGGUACCUUUGUGUUUUCUAUAUUUAAUCAAAACGUCUUUUCUGCAGAUUCAACAAGAGUACUCAGCAUAGAGAUAUUGUUUAGUACAAAAUAUCGAGGACCAUUUCUAUCCUGAUCUGGUAAUAAUACAUAAUCUCUAUCUUGAUCUGGUAAUAAUACAUAAUCGGUACAUCUAUUGUUCUAUGAGUGGAAGUCAACAUUUGCUACCCUAUAAAGUCUGCAUCCGUAUUUUCCUUCUAUUUAGUGGAUCAGAUUUCAAGGUUAUAUUUGUCCUUUGUCUUACAAAUUAAUUCCAGCCUUCGAAGUGGUACCUAACAAGUAAUCUACAAAGUGGUCAUCCCUAGGUCUACCAGUUCUAUAAGCAUUCAAGCAAAAAUUCUUUAGUUGUGGUUCAUUCUCAUGACAGGAAAAGAAAAAUGUUUGCAGGGAUGAAUCAUACUGCAUGGUCAGCAUAUCCUUCUGUUUGAUGGACUAAAUAAAUGACCCCAUGAUUCAUUUUUCUAACUUCUUUCUCCUCUUCUUGGUAGGGAAGUAAGCACAGUACUUUGUACUAAGAGCCUUUGAGAUGAUCAGAAUAAAGAAGAAACAACACUACAUCAUGGCAGCUGACAUCAGUUUUACUUGGGUGAACCUUCAGUGUAGAUGUACUUUUACGUCGUGCCUAUGCGAUAGUGCCGUACCUGGACAUUGGAUAUUAUGCUUUCAGAAUUUUGGUUGGCAUUCGUUAUUGGAUAUUAUGUUUUCUCAUAGUUAACCGAAUCAGUACACGCUGCCAACCAUUUGUUUGCUGGAUA
Long non-coding RNA from Panicum virgatum (switchgrass), 1951 nucleotides. RefSeq lists it as uncharacterized. The transcript is spliced from 2 exons. The record is from RefSeq and is a predicted model, not a curated record. NCBI's taxonomy places the organism in Eukaryota, Viridiplantae, Streptophyta, Magnoliopsida, Poales, Poaceae.